Molecule: ribosomal RNA, 450 nt
Filed under: uncultured bacterium
Lineage: Bacteria
Description: partial 16S ribosomal RNA
Rfam family: Bacterial small subunit ribosomal RNA
Source: RNAcentral
GUGGGGAAUUUUGGACAAUGGGCGCAAGCCUGAUCCAGCAAUGCCGCGUGCAGGAAGAAGGCCUUCGGGUUGUAAACUGCUUUUGUACGGAACGAAACGGUCCUGGCUAAUAUCCGGGGCUAAUGACGGUACCGUAAGAAUAAGCACCGGCUAACUACGUGCCAGCAGCCGCGGUAAUACGUAGGGUGCGAGCGUUAAUCGGAAUUACUGGGCGUAAAGCGUGCGCAGGCGGUGCUGUAAGACAGGCGUGAAAUCCCCGGGCUCAACCUGGGAAUUGCGCUUGUGACUGCAGCGCUGGAGUGCGGCAGAGGGGGAUGGAAUUCCGCGUGUAGCAGUGAAAUGCGUAGAUAUGCGGAGGAACACCGAUGGCGAAGGCAAUCCCCUGGGCCUGCACUGACGCUCAUGCACGAAAGCGUGGGGAGCAAACAGGAUUAGAUACCCCAGUAGUCC